CCGAGUUUACAAACUCCCAACCCUUUGUGAACCUUACCAUAUUGUUGCUUCGGCGGGACCGCCCCGGCGCCUUCGGGCCCGGAACCAGGCGCCCGCCGGAGGCCCCAAACUCUUAUGUCUUUAGUGGUUUUCUCCUCUGAGUGACACAUAAACAAAUAAAUAA
RNAcentral lists this unclassified non-coding RNA (163 nucleotides) under uncultured Myrothecium. RNAcentral describes it as "sequence contains ITS1". Lineage: Eukaryota; Fungi; Ascomycota; Sordariomycetes; Hypocreales. The record is from RNAcentral.